RNAcentral lists this long non-coding RNA (308 nucleotides) under Mytilus galloprovincialis (Mediterranean mussel). Lineage: Eukaryota; Metazoa; Mollusca; Bivalvia; Mytilida; Mytilidae. The record is from RNAcentral.
AUCAGUUUUGGAAAAAGGGAAAGGGGGAUGUGAAAAAAAAUGGGGGGGGGGGGGUUCAAUUUUUCUCAUUUCAGAUUUCAUAAAUAAAAAGAAAAUUUCUUUAAACAUUUUUUUGAGAGGAUUAAUAUUCAACAGCAUAGUGAAUUGGUCAAAGGCAAAACAAAAAUUUUAAGUUCAUUAGACCACAUUCAUUCUGUGUCAGAAACCUAUGCUGUGUCAACUAUUUAAUCACAAUCCAAAUUUAGAGCUGAAUCCAGCUUGAAUGUUGUGUCCAUACUUGCCCCAACCGUUCAGAGUUCAACCUCUGC